CCUAUAGAUACACAGGUAAGUGCCCUAUAGAUACACAGGUAAGUGCCCUAUAGAUACACAGGUAAGUGACCUAUAGAUACACAGGUAAGUGACCUAUAGAUACACAGGUAAGUGCCCUAUAGAUACACAGGUAAGUGCCCUAUAGAUACACAGGUAAGUGCCCUAUAGAUACAC
Long non-coding RNA from Haliotis rubra (blacklip abalone), 174 nucleotides. RefSeq lists it as uncharacterized. The record is from RefSeq and is a predicted model, not a curated record. Lineage: Eukaryota; Metazoa; Mollusca; Gastropoda; Lepetellida; Haliotidae. The transcript has 3 exons.